RNAcentral lists this ribosomal RNA (504 nucleotides) under uncultured eukaryote. RNAcentral's name for it is "bacterial SSU rRNA". It matches the Rfam family "Eukaryotic small subunit ribosomal RNA", at positions 46 to 555 of the family's 1831-position model. The record is from RNAcentral.
AAGCCUGCAUGUCUAAGUAUAAACUGCUUAUACUGUGAAACUGCGAAUGGCUCAUUAAAUCAGUUAUAGUUUAUUUGAUAAUACCUACUACUUGGAUAACCGUGGUAAUUCUAGAGCUAAUACAUGCCAAAAACCCCGACUUCUGGAAGGGGUGUGUUUAUUAGAUAAAAAACCAACCCAGCUUUGUGUCUUCAGGUGAAUCAUGAUAACUUUUCAAACCGCAUGGCUUUAUGUCGCCGCUGUUCUAUUCAAAUUUCUGCCCUAUCAACUUUCGAUGGUAGGAUAUAGGCCUACCAUGGCGUUAACGGGUGACGGAAGAUUAGGGUUCUAUUCCCGAGAGGGAGCCUGAGAAACGGCUACCACAUCCAAGGAAGGGAGCAGGCGCGCAAAUUACCCAAUCCUGAGACACGGAGGUAGUGACACUAAAUAACACUACAGGGCUUAUUAAGUCUGGAAUUUGGAAUGAGUACACUCUAAAUCUCUUAACAAGUAACCAAUAGAGGG